CAGCUCAAGUGCACAUUUUUCUUCUAUAUGAGGCUUUAUGUACACUGAAAAUAUGAGACUGGAAUUGUUUAGAAUUCUAUAUUUCUAAAAGAAGCUCUUGAUUCCCAAUUAUGAUUUCAAAUGAUGAUGAUGAUGAUGAUGUGGCACAGCUGCAAAAGAAAGCCUCUGUUUUGGAAGACUGACUGGAGUUUCAUUAAAUGCCCAGUUUCCACAAGUUUUAUGCUCUACUAAAUUCUUCAGGCCUUUUGUGUACUGAGAAUCUAAGAGUGGAGUCAUAUGUGGAUAGAUUGUUCCAAAGAAAUUAUUCAGCAAAUGGUGUGGUGUGCAUAAGAUACUUGAAUCAGUUUUUAUCAUACACUGAUUUAUACCAUCAACGAUUGUGAAUCUGACUUCCCUAUUA
Molecule: long non-coding RNA, 400 nt
Organism: Humulus lupulus (European hop)
Lineage: Eukaryota; Viridiplantae; Streptophyta; Magnoliopsida; Rosales; Cannabaceae
Exons: 3
Source: RefSeq, a predicted model, not a curated record